GGAGGGAUCAUUACACAAAGAUAUGAAGGUGGGAUGCUGGUAACAGUACUCUGCUGAAUUAUUUUCACCCAUGUCUUUUGCGCACUUUUUGUUUCCUGGGCGAGUUCGCUCGCCACCAGGACCCCCACAUCAACCUUUCUUGUUUUUGCAAUCAGCGUCAGUACAAUAAUUGAAUUUAUUAAAACUUUCAACAACGGAUCUCUUGGUUCUGGCAUCGAUGAAGAACGCAGCGAAAUGCGAUACGUAGUGUGAAUUGCAGAAUUCAGUGAAUCAUCGAAUCUUUGAACGCACAUUGCGCCCUUUGGUAUUCCAAAGGGUAUGCCUGUUCGAGCGUCAUUUGUACCCUCAAGCUUUGCUUGGUGUUGGGCGUCUUAUUGUCUCUCCGUCUCGGGGAGACUCGCCUUAAAACAAUUGGCAGCCGGCCUACUGGUUUCGGAGCGCAGCACAAAUUUGCGCUUGCAAUCAAUCAAGGGCGGCAUCCAUCAAGCCUUUUUUUUUUAUCACAUUUUGACCUCGGAUCAGGUAGGGAUACCCGCUGAACUUAAGCAUAUCAAUAG
Molecule: unclassified non-coding RNA, 557 nt
Filed under: Exserohilum turcicum
Lineage: Eukaryota; Fungi; Ascomycota; Dothideomycetes; Pleosporales; Pleosporaceae
Description: sequence contains ITS1, 5.8S rRNA gene, ITS2
Rfam family: 5.8S ribosomal RNA (bases 183-336)
Source: RNAcentral